This 302-nucleotide ribosomal RNA is filed under the name uncultured bacterium. RNAcentral's name for it is "partial 16S ribosomal RNA". It matches the Rfam family "Bacterial small subunit ribosomal RNA", at positions 508 to 807 of the family's 1533-position model. The record is from RNAcentral.
GCAGCCGCCACGGGAAUACAGAGGGUGCGAGCGUUAAUCGGAUUUACUGGGCGUAAAGCGUGCGUAGGCGGCUUCUUAAGUCGGAUGUGAAAUCCCUGAGCUUAACUUAGGAAUUGCAUUCGAUACUGGGAAGCUAGAGUAUGGGAGAGGAUGGUAGAAUUCCAGGUGUAGCGGUGAAAUGCGUAGAGAUCUGGAGGAAUACCGAUGGCGAAGGCAGCCAUCUGGCCUAAUACUGACGCUGAGGUACGAAAGCAUGGGGAGCAAACAGGAUUAGAUACCCCAGUAGUCCCUGUCUCUUAUAC